Molecule: ribosomal RNA, 1013 nt
Filed under: uncultured Francisella sp.
Lineage: Bacteria; Pseudomonadati; Pseudomonadota; Gammaproteobacteria; Thiotrichales; Francisellaceae
Description: bacterial SSU rRNA
Rfam family: Bacterial small subunit ribosomal RNA
Source: RNAcentral
GCCCAUUUGAGGGGGAUACCAGUUGGAAACGACUGUUAAUACCGCAUACUAUCUGAGGAUUAAAGGUGGCCUUUGUGCUGCCGCAGAUGGAUGAGCCUGCGUUAGAUUAGCUUGUUGGUGGGGUAAAGGCCUACCAAGGCUACGAUCUAUAGCUGAUUUGAGAGGAUGAUCAGCCACAUUGGGACUGAGACACGGCCCAAACUCCUACGGGAGGCAGCAGUGGGGAAUAUUGGACAAUGGAGGAAACUCUGAUCCAGCAAUGCCAUGUGUGUGAAGAAGGCUCUAGGGUUGUAAAGCACUUUAGUUGGGGAGGAAAGCUUAUGAGUUAAUAGCUCAUGAGAAGGACGUUACCCAAAGAAUAAGGACCGGCUAACUCCGUGCCAGCAGCCGCGGUAAUACGGGGGGUCCGAGCGUUAAUCGGAAUUACUGGGCGUAAAGGGUCUGUAGGUGGUUUGUUAAGUCAGAUGUGAAAGCCCAGGGCUCAACCUUGGAACUGCAUUUGAUACUGGCAAACUAGAGUAUGGUAGAGGAAUGGGGAAUUUCUGGUGUAGCGGUGAAAUGCGUAGAGAUCAGAAGGAACACCAAUGGCGAAGGCAACAUUCUGGACCAAUACUGACACUGAGGGACGAAAGCGUGGGGAUCAAACAGGAUUAGAUACCCUGGUAGUCCACGCUGUAAACGAUGAGUACUAGCUGUUGGAUUCGGUGUAAAGGAUCUAGUGGCGUAGCUAACGCGUUAAGUACUCCGCCUGGGGACUACGGCCGCAAGGCUAAAACUCAAAGGAAUUGACGGGGACCCGCACAAGCGGUGGAGCAUGUGGUUUAAUUCGAUGCAACGCGAAGAACCUUACCUGGUCUUGACAUCCUGCGAACUUUCUAGAGAUAGAUUGGUGCCUUCGGGAACGCAGUGACAGGUGCUGCACGGCUGUCGUCAGCUCGUGUUGUGAAAUGUUGGGUUAAGUCCCGCAACGAGCGCAACCCCUAUUGAUAGUUACCAUCAUUAAGUUGGGUACU